AGGUAAAAACAAAGCUCAAAGGACAUCAUAAGAGAAUAACUACCCUUGCUUUUUGAAUUCUGUCAACGUGAUUAUAUCUGCAGGAGCAGAUUGUCAGAUCUCAACUCUUCAAUGGCAAAUCCAUGUGUUGCUGAGUGUCUUCUCUUUGUGUAGACACUUUAAAUCUCUCUGUCAAGAUUUCCUCAACAUUUUUGUUUGUUUGGGAUGCCUUGCCGAAAUAUUUCCUCAUGAUUUAAGAAUUUCAAAGCUCAAGAGACCAUCAGAAGGUUUCAGUGGAAACAACCUAAACUCUUAUCUUUCAAGAUCAAAAUUGAGAGAAGACUGGAGCAGUACUACUGAACUUCUUACUAAUCCUCAAUUUAAUGGGACACAACCAGUUGGCAAAUCUACCUCCAUCGGAAGUGCAGCUGGUCGAUAUAAUUAUUCUAAAAAUUACAAUCCAAUUAGCCAUCUAACAAGUCAACUGAUAUCAGAAAAGAGCAACAUCAAUGCCAAUUUAGAGAAAGAGCUGGGUAAUGAGUGCUUUAAGCAGAAAAAGUUCAAUGAAGCCAUUGAUUACUAUUCUAGAAGCAUUGCACUUUCACCAACUGCAGUCUCUUAUGGCAAUAGAGCGAUCACUUAUCUUAAAAUC
This is a long non-coding RNA of Solanum stenotomum, 631 nucleotides long. RefSeq lists it as uncharacterized. The transcript is spliced from 5 exons. The record is from RefSeq and is a predicted model, not a curated record. Lineage: Eukaryota; Viridiplantae; Streptophyta; Magnoliopsida; Solanales; Solanaceae.